Molecule: ribosomal RNA, 253 nt
Filed under: uncultured bacterium
Lineage: Bacteria
Description: partial 16S ribosomal RNA
Rfam family: Bacterial small subunit ribosomal RNA
Source: RNAcentral
UACGUAGGGGGCAAGCGUUGUCCGGAAUCAUUGGGCGUAAAGAGCGCGUAGGCGGUCCGGUAAGUCCGCUCUGAAAGUCCGGGGCUCAACCCCGGGAGGCGGGCGGAUACUGUCGGGCUAGAGUCCGGAAGAGGCGAGUGGAAUUCCUGGUGUAGCGGUGAAAUGCGCAGAUAUCAGGAAGAACAUCGGUGGCGAAGGCGCUCUGCUGGACCAUAACUGACACUCAGGGACGAAAGCUAGGGGAGCGAAUGGG